RNAcentral lists this ribosomal RNA (1369 nucleotides) under uncultured bacterium. RNAcentral describes it as "bacterial SSU rRNA". It matches the Rfam family "Bacterial small subunit ribosomal RNA", at positions 28 to 1381 of the family's 1533-position model. The record is from RNAcentral.
GAUGAACGCUGGCGGCGUGCCUAAUACAUGCAAGUCGAGCGAACGGACGAGAAGCUUGCUUCUCUGAUGUUAGCGGCGGACGGGUGAGUAACACGUGGAUAACCUACCUAUAAGACUGGGAUAACUUCGGGAAACCGGAGCUAAUACCGGAUAAUAUUUUGAACCGCAUGGUUCAAAAGUGAAAGACGGUCUUGCUGUCACUUAUAGAUGGAUCCGCGCUGCAUUAGCUAGUUGGUAAGGUAACGGCUUACCAAGGCAACGAUGCAUAGCCGACCUGAGAGGGUGAUCGGCCACACUGGAACUGAGACACGGUCCAGACUCCUACGGGAGGCAGCAGUAGGGAAUCUUCCGCAAUGGGCGAAAGCCUGACGGAGCAACGCCGCGUGAGUGAUGAAGGUCUUCGGAUCGUAAAACUCUGUUAUUAGGGAAGAACAUAUGUGUAAGUAACUGUGCACAUCUUGACGGUACCUAAUCAGAAAGCCACGGCUAACUACGUGCCAGCAGCCGCGGGUAUACGUAGGUGGCAAGCGUUAUCCGGGAUUAUUGGGCGUAAGCGCGCGUAGCGGUUUUUAAGUCUGAUGUGAAAGCCCACGGCUCAACCUUGGAGGGUCAUUGGAAACUGGAAAACUUGAGUGCAGAAGAGGAAAGUGGAAUUCCAUGUGUAGCGGUGAAAUGCGCAGAGAUAUGGAGGAACACCAGUGGCGAAGGCGACUUUCUGGUCUGUAACUGACGCUGAUGUGCGAAAGCGUGGGGAUCAAACAGGAUUAGAUACCCUGGUAGUCCACGCCGUAAACGAUGAGUGCUAAGUGUUAGGGGGUUUCCGCCCCUUAGUGCUGCAGCUAACGCAUUAAGCACUCCGCCUGGGGAGUACGACCGCAAGGUUGAAACUCAAAGGAAUUGACGGGGACCCGCACAAGCGGUGGAGCAUGUGGUUUAAUUCGAAGCAACGCGAAGAACCUUACCAAAUCUUGACAUCCUUUGACAACUCUAGAGAUAGAGCCUUCCCCUUCGGGGGACAAAGUGACAGGUGGUGCAUGGUUGUCGUCAGCUCGUGUCGUGAGAUGUUGGGUUAAGUCCCGCAACGAGCGCAACCCUUAAGCUUAGUUGCCAUCAUUAAGUUGGGCACUCUAAGUUGACUGCCGGUGACAAACCGGAGGAAGGUGGGGAUGACGUCAAAUCAUCAUGCCCCUUAUGAUUUGGGCUACACACGUGCUACAAUGGACAAUACAAAGGGCAGCGAAACCGCGAGGUCAAGCAAAUCCCAUAAAGUUGUUCUCAGUUCGGAUUGUAGUCUGCAACUCGACUACAUGAAGCUGGAAUCGCUAGUAAUCGUAGAUCAGCAUGCUACGGUGAAUACGUUCUCGGGUCU